This 350-nucleotide ribosomal RNA is filed under the name uncultured Coriobacteriales bacterium. RNAcentral describes it as "partial 16S ribosomal RNA". The record is from RNAcentral. Lineage: Bacteria; Bacillati; Actinomycetota; Coriobacteriia; Coriobacteriales.
GGAGUCUGGACCGUCUCUCAGUUCCAAUGUGGCCGAUCACCCUCUCAGGUCGGCUACCGAUCGUCGCCUUGGUGGGCCGUUACCUCACCAACCAGCUAAUCGGACGCGAGCUCACCCCAAACCGAAUCGCUCCUUUUACCCCAAGACGAUGCCGCCUCGUGGUCUUAUGCGGUAUUAGCACCUGUUUCCAAGUGUUAUCCCCCUGUCUGGGACAGAUUGCUCACGCGUUACUCACCCGUCCGCCGCUAGAACAUGAUUCUUUCUGCCGAAGCUUAUUCCCUCAUGUCCCCGCUCGACUUGCAUGUGUUAAGCACGCCGCCAGCGUUCGUCCUGAGCCAUAAUCAAACUCU